GACGAACGCUGGCGGCGUGCCUAAUACAUGCAAGUAGAACGCAGUUUCGAACGGGUGAGUAACGCGUAGGUAACUGCCUCAUAGCGGGGGAUAACUAUUGGAAACGAUAGCUCAUACCGCAUACUUUGAGCUGGACCUGCGUUGUAUUAGCUAGUUGGUUAGGUAAAGGCUCACCAAGGGGACGAUACAUAACCGACCUGCGAGGGUGAUCGGUCACACUGGGAAUGAGACACGGGUCAGAAUCCUACGGGAGGCAGCAGUAGGGAAUUGUCGGAAAUUGACGGAAGGCUGAACGAGCAACGCCGCGGGAUGGAAGAAGGUUUUCGGAGCUGAAAGCUAUGUUGUGAGAGAAGCGGUAACUAAACAGAAAGGGACGGCUAACUACGUGCCAGCAGCCGCGGUAAUUC
Molecule: ribosomal RNA, 407 nt
Filed under: uncultured bacterium
Lineage: Bacteria
Description: partial 16S ribosomal RNA
Rfam family: Bacterial small subunit ribosomal RNA
Source: RNAcentral